RNAcentral lists this ribosomal RNA (376 nucleotides) under uncultured bacterium. RNAcentral's name for it is "bacterial SSU rRNA". It matches the Rfam family "Bacterial small subunit ribosomal RNA", at positions 523 to 898 of the family's 1533-position model. The record is from RNAcentral.
AUACGUAGGUGGCGAGCGUUGUCCGGAAUUACUGGGUGUAAAGGGCGUGUAGGUGGGGAUGCAAGUUAGAUGUGAAAUACCGGGGCUCAACUCCGGGGCUGCAUCUAAAACUGUGUUUCUUGAGUGCUGGAGAGGGAAGUGGAAUUCCUAGUGUAGCGGUGAAAUGCGUAGAGAUUAGGAGGAACACCAGUGGCGAAGGCGGCUUCCUGGACAGUAACUGACGCUGAUGCGCGAAAGCACGGGUAGCAAACAGGAUUAGAUACCCUGGUAGUCCGUGCCGUAAACUAUGGAUACUAGGUGUAGGGGAUUUUAUAUCUUCUGUGCCGCAGUUAACACAAUAAGUAUCCCACCUGGGGAGUACGGCCGCAAGGUUGAA